This 653-nucleotide long non-coding RNA is filed under the name Homo sapiens (human). RNAcentral describes it as "HSALNT0176258". Lineage: Eukaryota; Metazoa; Chordata; Mammalia; Primates; Hominidae. The record is from RNAcentral.
CUAACUCCUCGGCCUUUUCCCUCCGCCUCUCCUCAGCAGCCCGGCGCAUCUCAUCUUCCUGUAGCCGCUGUCGUGCUGCUGACAACUCUUGCCCUUGUCUCCUGCGCUGCCGUUCCCGUUCCAAUGCCUCCCGUUCCUCUCUUUCUUCACGCUCCCGCUGCUUCUGGGCCACCAGCUCCAACAUCCUGUGUUGCCGAGGGAAAACAGUUCAAGAGAAAUGGACAGAGUGGGAAGGUGUAAAGUUUACAAUAAACAAAAUUAGGCGACAUAUAUCCCAAAGUAGAUUAAAGGAAAAGAAAAUGCCAAGAAAGAGGAAAUGUGGAAAGGUCAAGGUUCUUUGACCAGACGUGUACUGGGGAGAGAUGGAAGACGACCCUCAGACACGUGAGAUUGUUGUUACUGUACCUCUUAGUUUGUUCCUGUCUUUCCUCUUCACUCAAAGCGGGUUUGCCUUCUCCGGCAGCAGAACCAGAUCCUACAAACAAACAAUCGGUAUUAUUAUCCCUUCAGAUUCUCCUCGGACCCUCCUGAAUAAUCACACCGUGGACCCUCAGUCAGGACCUUCAAGGCCGCCUUGCUCUGAGGAAGUGGGCUCCCGUCCCAGGAUAUGUCCAAGGGGAGUCUCUAAAGGCUCGUCCACAUCGGGGUCGUCU